RNAcentral lists this ribosomal RNA (441 nucleotides) under uncultured bacterium. RNAcentral describes it as "bacterial SSU rRNA". It matches the Rfam family "Bacterial small subunit ribosomal RNA", at positions 83 to 518 of the family's 1533-position model. The record is from RNAcentral.
GCCAGAUGACGACCGGCGCACGGGUGAGUAACGCGUAUCCAACCUGCCCAUGGGUCAGGAAUAACCUUCCGAAAGGGAGCCUAAUACCUGAUGCAGUGAGAAGAAGGCCUCUGAUUUUCACGAAAGACUUCGGUCGCCGAUGGAUGGGGAUGCGUACGAUUAGGCAGCAGGCGGGUAACGGCCCACCUGGCCAACGAUCGUUAGGGGUUCUGAGAGGAAGGUCCCCCACACUGGUACUGAGACACGGACCAGACUCCUACGGGAGGCAGCAGUGAGGAAUAUUGGUCAAUGGGCGCAAGCCUGAACCAGCCAAGUAGCGUGCAGGAACCGACUGCCCUAUGGGUUGUAAAACUGCUUUUAUGCGGGGAUAAAGUGGGCCACGCGUGGCUUAUUGCAGGUACCGCAUGAAUAAGGACCGGCUAAUUCCGUGCCAGCAGCCGC